This 107-nucleotide transfer RNA is filed under the name Fusarium pseudograminearum. RNAcentral describes it as "tRNA-Leu". It matches the Rfam family "tRNA". From Rfam's summary of the family: Transfer RNA (tRNA) molecules are approximately 80 nucleotides in length. Their secondary structure includes four short double-helical elements and three loops (D, anti-codon, and T loops). RNAcentral also lists the same sequence under 1 other name. The record is from RNAcentral. Lineage: Eukaryota; Fungi; Ascomycota; Sordariomycetes; Hypocreales; Nectriaceae.
GUCAAGAUGGCCGAGUGGUUAAGGCGCUGCACUCAAGAAACUCUCUUGCCUGGUUACCUGGGUUUGCAGUAUCGAAAGAUGCCUGGGUUCGAGUCCCAGUCUUGACA